This 1935-nucleotide long non-coding RNA is filed under the name Homo sapiens (human). RNAcentral's name for it is "HSALNT0061258". Lineage: Eukaryota; Metazoa; Chordata; Mammalia; Primates; Hominidae. The record is from RNAcentral.
AAUAAGUCAAAUGUUAGCCAAUUAAGCAUUCUCAGAAGCAAUGAGAAAAACACCGACAGCCUUUCUGAAUGAGAAUUCCACUGGUAUCUGCCGGCCUGACUGUUUAAUACAUUUCAAGGUGGUUAAUGUUCUCUUGACGCAUGUGCGGAAGCGAGUAUUUUAAACCACUACGGAGCAAAUGCUGCAAGUUGGUUUGGGCAGAUAGUCAAAUAACUAAAAGGGAAAGGCCUGAUGGGCAGCUCCUCCCCAUGACCAAAGGAAGGAAGCAGUGCUGACGGGAGAAGGUACAUGGGCACAGAGCCCUGCAGGAUUUGCAGCCAGCGUGGGCAGCAGCGCCCUAGCACCAGUCACCCCCUCAACACUCAGCAUUUGCUCUGGGCCUUGGACAGUGCUGGGCAACAGUCAUACAGAGGUAAAACGUGGACAGAUAUGGACACACAUGACACCACAGAAGCUCCAGCCCCACCAGCACCUUUGCCAAUCCUGCCACAGGAAGCACCAGCCCACGUGCCCUGCCAGAGCAAUUCAGAUGUGUCUCAAGUACCUAAAUCUAUCUGCUCUGUGUCAUUCCAGGGCUUUGUUCCACUAAGGGAGAUGAGAAGGAACCUACCACUUAUUGAGCACCUACGAUGAGCCAGACACUGCACAUAUUACUUCAACCCUCCAAAAGUCUAGAAAGGUGAUUUAUCAUUUCCAUUGGACAUCUAGGGAGAUUAAGUUUCAAAGAGAUUCAGCAACUUGCUCAAAGAAAUUAAGGUGCACUGCUAAAAAUGAAGAAGCUGGAAUUUGAAUUGUCUGGGUCCUGUCUGACUCUGAAGCCAUGUUUUUCCAGCCAAGUGAGGCAAUGUGUCCAGCCUCCACCACAGCUGUAGGUGCAGGGUUUGUACAGAGACCAAAUGCACUACCCUGACUCAUUCUGGCCAUAAUCCCAGGUUUUACACAGAAGUCGUUGUCUUUCAGUGAUUCUCUGAAGUUUCCCAGGUUGGAAUCCUGUUUCCCCACUGUCUCAGUUGGUACUGGAGAUCUUCCCUAGAGAUGUUCCUUUCUCUUUUAUUUCCUUUCUGUCCCUAAGGGCCUGACUCAAGCUCCACACCUCAGGCUGUCUCCUGACUCCAUCCUCUCCUGCAAGGCUUUCACAUAACCAGUGGUUUGAUCAUCAAUACCUAGCUCUCCUACACUGCUCAGAUACUUUCCAAGACUCAUCAAGACUUACUGCAGAAGGCCAAAGUUGCUUAACAAAAAUUCAAGUCCCUCACCAGCCUGGCCUCAACUUCCAUUGAUAACCUGAUUUCCUGUGACUCCAUUUUAUGUAAACUCUGCUCCAGCCAGUCUGGGGACUCCACUGUUUUUCAAUAGGGACCACACCAAUCCUGCUUCUACACCUUUGCUCACGCUAGACCCUCUACUGUAGUGGGGCUGAAUUGUGUUUCUCAAAAAGUCUUGUGUUGAAGGUCUAACCACUGGUACCUCAGAAUAUGAUUCAGAAUAUGACUGUAUUUGAAGAUAUGGCCUUUAAAGUGGUAAUUAAGUUAAAGUGAGGUUAUUAAGGUGGGCCUUAAUUUAAUAUGACUGGUGCCUUUCCUUCUAAGAAGAGGAGAUUUGGAAAUAUAAUGUGAAGACAGAGAAAAGACAGCCAUCUACCAGCCCAGGAGAGAGGCCUAAGAAGAAACCAACCCUGCCAACACCUUGAUCUUGAACUUCCCACCUCCAAAAUUGUCAGAAAAUAAGUUAUUAAGCCACACAGUCUGUGGUAUUUUGUUAUGCAGCCCUCCACACUAAUACACCUACCUACAGUCUCUUCCUCUUUCUCCCCAAAUAACCUUCUCAGUCUUACUUCCAAAAUAAAUAUUUUUUCUACCUCCCCAAGCACUUGCUUAUCUUAAAGUCUUCAAGAGGCUUCUCAUCACUCUUAAAAUAAAAAAAAAAAAAUUAAAC